RNAcentral lists this microRNA precursor (67 nucleotides) under Bombyx mori (domestic silkworm). RNAcentral describes it as "mir-2774 microRNA precursor family". It matches the Rfam family "mir-2774 microRNA precursor family". Lineage: Eukaryota; Metazoa; Arthropoda; Insecta; Lepidoptera; Bombycidae. The record is from Rfam by way of RNAcentral.
ACAACAUUAGGACCGUCGCUCUAUCGAGUAACUUCACCCGUUCGAUGGAAGAUCUUCAUUUUGUCGA